Molecule: ribosomal RNA, 663 nt
Filed under: uncultured Actinomycetes bacterium
Lineage: Bacteria; Bacillati; Actinomycetota; Actinomycetes
Description: SSU rRNA
Rfam family: Bacterial small subunit ribosomal RNA
Source: RNAcentral
CUUGUUGGUGGGGUGAUGGCCUACCAAGGCUUCGACGGGUAGCCGGCCUGAGAGGGCGUCCGGCCACACUGGGACUGAGACACGGCCCAGACUCCUACGGGAGGCAGCAGUGGGGAAUAUUGCGCAAUGGGCGGAAGCCUGACGCAGCGACGCCGCGUGGGGGAUGACGGCCUUCGGGUUGUAAACCUCUUUCGACUUCGACGAAGCCUUUGGGUGACGGUAGGGGUGGAAGAAGCACCGGCCAACUACGUGCCAGCAGCCGCGGUAAUACGUAGGGUGCGAGCGUUGUCCGGAAUUAUUGGGCGUAAAGAGCUCGUAGGCGGUGUGUCGCGUCGGCCGUGAAAACCUGCAGCUUAACUGUGGGCGUGCGGUCGAUACGGGCAUCACUGGAGUUCGGCAGGGGAGACUGGAAUUCCUGGUGUAGCGGUGAAAUGCGCAGAUAUCAGGAGGAACACCGGUGGCGAAGGCGGGUCUCUGGGCCGAUACUGACGCUGAGGAGCGAAAGCGUGGGGAGCGAACAGGAUUAGAUACCCUGGUAGUCCACGCUGUAAACGGUGGGCACUAGGUGUGGGGGCCAUUCCACGGUCUCUGUGCCGCAGCUAACGCAUUAAGUGCCCCGCCUGGGGAGUACGGCCGCAAGGCUAAAACUCAAAGGAAUUGACG